Long non-coding RNA from Portunus trituberculatus (swimming crab), 4888 nucleotides. RefSeq lists it as uncharacterized. The record is from RefSeq and is a predicted model, not a curated record. The transcript is spliced from 3 exons. Lineage: Eukaryota; Metazoa; Arthropoda; Malacostraca; Decapoda; Portunidae.
CGGAAAGGAGGCGCAGGCUCUGGCAGUGCACAGGUGUGUUGGUGCGUGGGUGGCGCUCCUCCCCUCCUCCCAACGCCGCCGCCGCCCCGUGAGUCGAUCUGUUGGUGCUUGAAGGGAUGGUGAUGAUGAUGAUGCGGCCUCUGUGUCCCGAGUGAAGACGUCCGGCCUCGCGCCACGCCCUUGGGUGAGUUACGCUCCGGCUUUGUUUUUUUUGGGGUGAGAGGAAGGUGAGAUGAGGGGAGGAUGAUGGGAAGAGAGAGAGAGAGAGAGAGAGAGAGAGAGAGAGAGAGAGAGAGAGAGUUAGUUAUGCUUUUGAUUCCCUCUCCUGCUGCAUCAUCGCCAUCGUCUGGACCACAAGGUAAGUUCCUGUCACUCGCACUAAUAAAACGUCUCUCCAUCUCCCGUGUUUUUGGGCCACAGAGAUGAUCAGACGCGUUCCUGUGAUGUCCUCCUUGGCAGUGAUGCAGAGUCCUUGUAAGAAUAUGUGUAGAAUGAAUAAAAGUCUGAAAACAAGUACCUAACAUGCAGUAAGUCACAACACUUCAGUGAAAGCAAUGUAUGAAAUCUCUAUUAAUAUUCAUAAAGGAGGAUGAAAGGGAAUAUAUUUAACAAUUUCCAGUUGAUGUGGUUCUUAACGUGGCUGCAGGAAGAGAAAAAAAUCCCCUAGAAUGAUUAAUGAUUAAGGAAAUAUGUGCCAAAUAGCAAUAGCAGCUACAUUGUACAAGGUUCGCCUCAGAUUUUUUUAAAAUAUGACUUGGAGAACAAAACUUGAUCUCGUUUACAAAAAAUCCAUAAAAGUGAAGGGAGGGGAGCUCAAAUGCCUAUCGACGUGUAUCAAGGAAUUGCAAAGAACUUAAGGAGCGUUUUCUAACAGGAGGCGUGGCUGUGGUGGUGGUGAUGGUAGUGCCGUGGUAGUGGUGGUGCCGGUGCCCGCUGUGUUCACUACGGGUUAGUCACGGUGGAGGUGGCAGGCGAGACGCGGGAAUGCACCUAGUCAGCCAGUUCACGGAGUUUCAUCAUUUCUUUUUCCUCGAACACAUGCGGGUGUGGUAGAUGAUGAUUCGCCGCUGUAUUAUGUCCAGUGUGCUUUGGGACUCAACACCGCUGAGCUGAGCUUUACCCGGAGCCGCGCCUGUCUGGCCUUGCUGUGCCUCACGUGGCCCUCAUGUCAGCCCCGCACACAGAGAACUUAAUGAUCUUUCUUGCAUUGGAACGAUAACUUGCCGAGUGAUUUUCUUCUUUUCUAGGGGAUUACGUGCAUUAGAUUCAGUGUCUCCUUGGUAAUGCUUCUUGAUGUUUUUUUGCAGUAAGACAGAGAGAGAGAGAGAGAGAGAGAGAGAGAGAGAGAGAGAGAGAGAGAGAGAGAGAGAGAGAGAGAGAGAGAGAGAGGGUUGCAUGCGUUAGGGUAUAUUAAGAAUUCAUCUUGACACCUGUGUAUGGUAGGCAGGUGUGGCGACAGAUGUUACUAGCUAGUGUGUGUGUGUGUGUGUGUGUGUGUGUGUGUGUGUGUGUGUGUGUGUGUGUGUGUGUGUGUGUGUGUGCGUGUGUGCGUGUGUGUACGUGUGUGUGUUAUGUAAUCGAGUGUAUGACGGGUAUGGUGUACGGCGGACGCAGUUUAUGUACUUCGGCAGGGCGUCAAGGCGGCGUAGUGCGGUGGCUAGUGGUGCAGUGCGUUGUCCAGGGAGCGGUGAGUGUGAGAGGUGGUUUGUGUGUGUGGGGGAGAGGGGGAUUCAUUUAGCACAGUGCACCUCCUGCGUGGAGGUGCUUCUCUAAAGGGAGGGGAAAUGUACAGUACAAUAAAUCACAUUAUUAUACGUGGUAUAUUUUAAGAGAGAGAGAGAGAGAGAGAGAGAGAGAGAGAGAGAGUUCCAGCUCGUGCUCUUCAGGAGGCCCGCCAGGCGCCGAGACACACGUGGCACAUUGUACUGUAGUGUCCAGUAGUGACGUUACAUCGCACUGUUAUUAAGCAUGUAAUUACUCUCCCAAGUAGCAACAUGAGUGUAUGCAUGUAUGUAUGUGUGUAUGUAUGUAUGUUAUGUAGGCAGGUAAAUGUGAGAGUGGAACAGGAUCGCGGGGUCGUGCAUGAUCGUCACCUCAAGUCACAUGUCCCGAAAUUCUCUGUUGACAGUUCAUCGUCACUGAUCAAUAAUCAAUAUCACCUGCAGUAAACUUUUCAACUGUUCUUAUUAGUUUCCCUCUCUGUAAUGCAUUUUCAAAAUGUGUGAAUCCUACAAAGAGAAUCUCACAUGUCUUUUUGAUGUAAAUAUGAAGCCAUAAUUGUGAAUAUGUUCAUGUAAUUGUGCGUGCAGCCAGCCAGCAAACAUGUCAGCCGUCAGUGUGAGUGAGGCGCCACGCGUCCCUGUGGUGGUGAGUGGCGGCUGGGCGGUGCAAGGCUGGCGGGGAGGCGACACACAAGCUGAGUUCUAUCAACCCCUAUCUCUGGUCUCUCAAAAUUGUGUAAAUAUUUGAAUAUAUGAUUUUAGUAGCAUUUACAUUUCGAAUUCAUCAAGAUAUCUUUAAAACUCAGUGCAAGUGACUUUAUACUUACAGCAAGAAUUAAUGAGAAAUAGCGAAUAUGCAAGCAAUCUAAUUUGGUGCUUGAAUAAUGACACUGGGACCUUGCAAGCUUCCCAGUGUGCGCUAGUAUGGCCAUUACUUGCACCCGAGUGAGCAGCCUUAUUCAGAAACGCUUUGGUCUCUUACCACGACUAUUAUCAAAGGCAACAGAGACAGUUAGCCACAUUCUCAAGAGUGCUUCUCCUGUUAAUAAAGUGGAAAAAUGGCAAAUCUAUCACUAGAACCAUAGAAAAGCGCUCUUAAAAACCCGUGGCACUUCAACUAGAUCCUUUUGAAUGUGGAGAAGGUGCCGGCAGAAGUGUUUCGGAUGCGUUGCCUGCCGUAUCAGCUUCCGUGUUUUUGUUGCACGUUCCGGCGAGCAAGUAGUUCCAUUCCAUGGCGGGACGGGCUGCUCGUCUCCAAAUAGCGAGGUGGUGGCCGGCGCGAUGGUGGCUGCUGGGUGGUCCUGCUAGCGGGGGGUGCGGUUCGUCCCCCCUUCUCUAUAGCCAUGCGCUAGUGGAGUCUAGUGGUGGGGCUACACACACACACACACACACACACACACACACACACACACACACACACACAUUUCGCGGUGCUUGAGAAUACUGGCGAGUCACGAACACCCGGAAAACACAAUCAUUAUUUCGUAUAGUGAUUGAAGUGUUAAAUGCGUGAUUUGGAUUGCGUGUUUUUACUUAUUUUACCCAUUUAUUUAUUUGCUUAUCUAUCUCUCUAUCUCUUUAUCUAUUUAGCCCUUCAUGUACAGGGGCACCUACAGUUUCCAUUACAUAUAAGUUUUAUUUUGAAUGUGUUAUGUUAUUUAUGUAUUUAUUCAUGUAUUUUUAGAGACGACCUUAUUUUCUUUGUAUCGUUUAUGUAAAGAGUGAACACCGCAGACCUUUAAAGAUUUCUUCUGUAACUUAAGAAUGUCUGGGAGUUUCAAAGUAAAAUGUGUCGUAUUUUUUUCAAAGUUGAGGAAAUGCUCUUACUCUUUUGAUGUGUAUGUAAAGGAGGAUUACAGCAGUCAAGGCCUAUAAAGAGUUAAAGAUAAAUUUGUACGGUGUAUUCAUGUUGUGGAGACGUCACUAUUGUUAUUAUUAUUAUCAUCAUCAUAGUUAUUAUUAUUAUUAUUAUUAUUAUUAUUAUUAUUAUACUGUCUAUGGAAAACAAGAUCAGCUCAAUAUUCUUGAAAGUUUAUUAUAAAUACCAAGUUUUGUAAGGAGCACAAGGUGAUUAAGUGUGUUUUAUUUGUGGUGCGGAGACUCCUUCAAUCUUCUUACUGCCAGUGUAAAGGUACAUUGGCACAGGCGUUUAAAAAUUCUAUUAUGAAUGUGAUCUUUACUUAAGAGCGGCAAGAUGAAUCUGUCGGCUUUACUUAUUUAUUGUGGUGACGUCCCGGUGUUGGAGGUCACAGAAUUAUCAAGUUCGCCAUUAAUUCCAAGCACCACUAAGAACGAAUCUUUCACCGUGAGGAUACAACGAAAGAGGCAAAUAAGGAAAGCUACAAGGCGUCUAUACACACAUGGCCCUCCUUCCUUGCGAGUGUGUGUGUGUGUGUGUGUGUGUGUGUGUGUGUGUGUGUGUGUGUAAAACAUAUACGAUUUCUGCCUACCAUCUUUAUUCAUACAAUUAAUUAAACCUUCUUCUCUCGAGUAUACUGCCAUUUUUUAAACUUACGUCAUUCUAAUCUAAACUUGCAUUUCCUUAAUGUUUAACCUGUGUUUUCUACUGGUUAAAGAAGACAUCUAUUUUGUUUAAAGAUGGAUUUAAAUGUUUGUUUAAUCUUUUAAUGUGGAGAUUUUAGGUAGUAGUAUCUCUCUCUCUCUCUCUCUCUCUCUCUCUCUCUCUCUCUCUCUCUCUCUCUCUCUCUCUCUCUCUCUCUCUCUCUCUCUCUCUCUCUCUCUCUCUCUCUCUCUCUCUCUCUCUCUCUCUCUCUGUCUGUCUCUUGUGGCAGGAACCUGGAGCGCUGACGUUUGUUUGAUGUAAGCGAUGAAGUAUAAACACGCCGCCUCUGCUGAUCAUGAGGAUUUCAGAGUCAAUAUCCACCUCUGUUUACUUACCAACGCGUGCAACACUCAUUGGGAGCUCAUCGGGGGAGGGGUCGUGUGUCUUGUAGGGUGUUGGGCAGUGGUGGGCAGUCAUGGGGUUACAGUGGUCAGUGCUCAGUAAAGUAGGGCAAAAUAGGGUAAGGUAAAGGUAUAAGGCAGGGUAAGGUAGCAGGGUAGGGCAGGAUAGGUCGCCCCCAAUCCAUCCCCUCUCACUGCCUUUUCCUUCAGUCAUGUAACAAGGACGUGUGUGUGUGUGUGUGUGUGUGUGUGUGUGUGUGUGU